This 207-nucleotide ribosomal RNA is filed under the name uncultured bacterium. Its description in RNAcentral is "partial 16S ribosomal RNA". It matches the Rfam family "Bacterial small subunit ribosomal RNA", at positions 568 to 774 of the family's 1533-position model. The record is from RNAcentral.
CGCGUAGGCUGCGGGGUAAGUCUGGUGUGAAAUCUCAGAGCUCAACUCUGAAACUGCACUUGAUACUGCUCUGCUUGAGGACUGGAGAGGAGAUUGGAAUUCACGGUGUAGCAGUGAAAUGCGUAGAUAUCGUGAGGAAGACCAGUGGCGAAGGCGGAUCUCUGGACAGUUCCUGACGCUGAGGCGCGAAGGCCAGGGGAGCAAACG